AACGCGAUUGGAAGAAAAGGAUUUACCGAGGUAAUAUUUCGAGUAACAUUUUUUCAAGUAACAAAAAAGAAGUAAACAACCCAAAACCGAAACGGCCGUCUUGGAUAUGAAAGUGAGUGCUAGAGGACUAUGACCUGGUAUGCGGUUUCUAAUAUUUUGGCAGCAAGUACUUUUAGCUGAAAAUUCAAUCCCCGAAAUUUUCUGAUUGAUGUGUAAAGGAGAAACAUCAGGCCAAACUGGAUCAAGCAAUAUGAGGAUUUUAUUAAAAGUUUUCAAGAUUAAGCGCUGAAUCAGCAGAUUGAUAGUUUAUUACAAACAUGGUAGAAGAAUUAGAUAAAAAAAUUUUAUUAUUACUUUUUUUUCUUCUGAAAUCGACUAAUUUAUAAUGCUUGAAUGAGAAAGUCAUUAAAUUGAUGAAAUUGUUCUAACGUUUUCCAAUAGUAUAGUGAAGGCGUACAUUGUCAUUGAAAUGUC
Molecule: non-coding RNA, 474 nt
Organism: Schizosaccharomyces pombe (fission yeast)
Lineage: Eukaryota; Fungi; Ascomycota; Schizosaccharomycetes; Schizosaccharomycetales; Schizosaccharomycetaceae
Source: the annotation of a GenBank genome assembly